UGGGGAAUAUUGCACAAUGGGCGCAAGCCUGAUGCAGCCAUGCCGCGUGUAUGAAGAAGGCCUUCGGGUUGUAAAGUACUUUCAGCGGGGAGGAAGGCGGUGAGGUUAAUAACCUCAUCGAUUGACGUUACCCGCAGAAGAAGCCCCGGCUAACUCCGUG
RNAcentral lists this ribosomal RNA (160 nucleotides) under uncultured bacterium. RNAcentral's name for it is "partial 16S ribosomal RNA". It matches the Rfam family "Bacterial small subunit ribosomal RNA", at positions 355 to 507 of the family's 1533-position model. The record is from RNAcentral.